This 486-nucleotide long non-coding RNA is filed under the name Carica papaya (papaya). Its description in RNAcentral is "long non-coding RNA (CPAP_LNC003556)". The record is from RNAcentral. Lineage: Eukaryota; Viridiplantae; Streptophyta; Magnoliopsida; Brassicales; Caricaceae.
AAGCUCCUUUCUAUGAUCUGCGCCUUUGCCAGUACUGCCGAAUAUGUCUCAAGCUCCAUCACCAGUAAGUGCUGUCUGAUCUCCGGGCGGAGACCCCACUGGAAUUUCCUGGCCUUUCGGCCCUCAUCCAACAAUGUCUCCGGGGCAUGUCGGCCCAGCUCCAGGAACUUACGGGCAUACUCCGACACUGUCAUAUUUCCCUGGACCAAUUGAGCAAACUCCAUUUCCUUUAGAUGUUGGAUGUGUUUAGGGAGAUACUCCGCAUGGAAAGCCGCUAGGAACUGCUCCCAAGUAACUGGUGCAGGCAGGGUGGCUCGCUUGAGCUCCCACCAGUGUACUGCUUCCCCUACCAGCAUGUAAGAGGCAAUGGCAGCCCUCUGCUCAGGAACUACUCCCAAGGUCUCGAAAGCUCUCUCAGUCUCUGCCAGCCAGUAUUGGGCCUCUUCGAAAGAGGAUCCCCCUGAAAAAGUAGAAGGGUUCAGUCUU